RNAcentral lists this ribosomal RNA (425 nucleotides) under uncultured rumen bacterium. RNAcentral describes it as "bacterial SSU rRNA". It matches the Rfam family "Bacterial small subunit ribosomal RNA", at positions 354 to 776 of the family's 1533-position model. The record is from RNAcentral.
GUGAGGAAUAUUGGACAAUGGCCGAGAGGCUGAUCCAGCCAUGCCGCGUGCGGGAAGACGGCCCUAUGGGUUGUAAACCGCUUUUGUUGGAGAGCAAUAAGAGUUACGUGUAACUUGAUGAGAGUAUCCAGCGAAUAAGCAUCGGCUAACUCCGUGCCAGCAGCCGCGGUAAUACGGAGGAUGCAAGCGUUAUCCGGAUUUAUUGGGUUUAAAGGGUGCGUAGGCGGAUGAUUAAGCGUGAGGUGAAAUGCCACGGCUCAACCGUGGAACUGCCUCGCGAACUGGUUGUCUGGAAUGCCCCUGCCGUGGGAGGAAUGUGUGGUGUAGCGGUGAAAUGCAUAGAGAUCACACAGAACACCGAUUGCGAAGGCAUCUCACGAAGGGGUGAUUGACGCUGAGGCACGAAAGCGUGGGGAUCAAACAGG